This 750-nucleotide unclassified non-coding RNA is filed under the name Hevea brasiliensis (rubber tree). The record is from RNAcentral. Lineage: Eukaryota; Viridiplantae; Streptophyta; Magnoliopsida; Malpighiales; Euphorbiaceae.
CUGAAUGAGAAAUGAAGGACUGGGCAAGAAAAGCUCGUAGAGAACUUUGAAAUUCUGUCCCUUGCAAUGUGUAGUGGGAAUUUUCAAUAAUAACUUCCAGAAUGGCAUUAUUUUCGAGUUGGAGUUGACACCAAGUUUUUGUGAUAUUGGGAGUUUGGAUAGAAUACAAUGCUGAAUACAUGAGUGAAUAUGAAAUGUGCCCCUUUCUUUUAUCUAUCUACAGGUUUCCCCUUUGUAUUACUUUUUCCAAUUAAAUGUGAGGGGCUGCAUUAUUUUCCCAGCAACACAAGUAUUCACAUAACUUUUCUGGUAUGGAUUCUGAGGUCCUCUGCCUUACAGGUCUGGGUCAAAUCUUCAAAAAUAUUCUUCCUGACCAAAAUUCCGGGUUCAAAAAGUGUUGAGUGGCUUGACAAGAUCCUCAAGUGAGAAUAGUAAACAGAUGUAUCUCCUAGACCACAAAUCAGAAUCCCACUUGGCACCCUUUACCCAGCUAUCUUAGAAAUUUAGUGUGAAUUUAAGUAUGUUUGAAUAGGAAAUUCCAAACGUAAGGAUUUGAAUUUUUGAGUUUUAGUUUAGACUGCAUACAUCAGCAUCUCGACUUAGGAUGGAUGAGAAGGAAAAUACAUUUCAUCCAAAUUUUAAAAGUUUAUUUGAAAUGACACCUAUCUUUUGAGUUUUUAGAUGAAACUGUAUACAUCAAUAUUUAGAUUUUGGAUGGAUGAGAAGAAAAGCAUACUUCAUCCAAAAAAG